This is a long non-coding RNA of Xiphophorus couchianus (Monterrey platyfish), 332 nucleotides long. RefSeq lists it as uncharacterized. NCBI's taxonomy places the organism in Eukaryota, Metazoa, Chordata, Actinopteri, Cyprinodontiformes, Poeciliidae. The transcript has 2 exons. The record is from RefSeq and is a predicted model, not a curated record.
UCUAAGAAGCGGCGAGCUGACACUUCCUUGCCUGAGUGUUUGUUUACCUUGGUUUACCUGGAUUCCUCCGGAGUUUUCCGAGAGGAGAGUUCUGUGGGUCGUUUGUCCCAGACUCCGACCAGCCGUCAGUUCGCUCCUCCACUCAGUCUGACUUACCUGUCCGCCCUCCAACGGUUCGUUGCCUCUCCACGCCGCCCCUGGGUCCGUUGUUGCUCCAAAGGAAACAUCCAUCCGCUCCUAUGGCUGAACUGGUUGCCCCUUCCAGACUCCUGCUCCGUGUUUUCUCCCCAACCCUAUUCCCUCUUGUCAAUAAACUUCAUUAUUGUUUUGCA